GAUGAACGCUGGCGGCGUGCCUAAUACAUGCAAGUCGAGCGAACAGACGAGGAGCUUGCUCCUCUGACGUUAGCGGCGGACGGGUGAGUAACACGUGGAUAACCUACCUAUAAGACUGGGAUAACUUCGGGAAACCGGAGCUAAUACCGGAUAAUAUAUUGAACCGCAUGGUUCAAUAGUGAAAGACGGUUUUGCUGUCACUUAUAGAUGGAUCCGCGCCGCAUUAGCUAGUUGGUAAGGUAACGGCUUACCAAGGCAACGAUGCGUAGCCGACCUGAGAGGGUGAUCGGCAACACUGGAACUGAGACACGGUCCAGACUCCUACGGGAGGCAGCAGUAGGGAAUCUUCCGCAAAGGGCGAAAGCCUGACGGAGCAGCGCCGCGUGAGUGAUGAAGGUCUUCGGAUCGUAAAACUCUGUUAUUAGGGAAGAACAAAUGUGUAAGUAACUAUGCACGUCUUGACGGUACCUAAUCAGAAAGCCACGGCUAACUACGUG
Molecule: ribosomal RNA, 497 nt
Filed under: uncultured bacterium
Lineage: Bacteria
Description: partial 16S ribosomal RNA
Rfam family: Bacterial small subunit ribosomal RNA
Source: RNAcentral